CAAAUAAGGUACAAAGAAAGAACCACAAUCUACUUUCUAACCACACAAAUGAUACAUUUAUAAUUGCUGAUGAUAAAGAAUUGCUUAUAUAAAUUUCCUUGCCAUACAUAUCUUCCAUCCUGAUGCAAAACAUAAUUUAAGGAGGAAAAAAGAGCACUAUAUGCCAAUUAAGCAAUCCGGUACAGGCCAUGCUUCUAAAAUCAGAAUAUAAG
Molecule: unclassified non-coding RNA, 212 nt
Filed under: Hevea brasiliensis (rubber tree)
Lineage: Eukaryota; Viridiplantae; Streptophyta; Magnoliopsida; Malpighiales; Euphorbiaceae
Source: RNAcentral